UACGUAGGGGCUAGCGUUAUCCGGAAUUACUGGGCGUAAAGGGUGCGUAGGUGGUUUCUUAAGUCAGAGGUGAAAGGCUACGGCUCAACCGUAGUAAGCCUUUGAAACUGGGAAACUUGAGUGCAGGAGAGGAGAGUGGAAUUCCUAGUGUAGCGGUGAAAUGCGUAGAUAUUAGGAGGAACACCAGUUGCGGAGGCGGCUCUCUGGACUGUAACUGACACUGAGGCACGAAAGCGUGGGGAGCAAACAGGAUUAGAUACCCGGGUAGUUCCUGAGCGGG
Molecule: ribosomal RNA, 280 nt
Filed under: uncultured prokaryote
Description: partial 16S ribosomal RNA
Rfam family: Bacterial small subunit ribosomal RNA
Source: RNAcentral